Long non-coding RNA from Tribolium castaneum (red flour beetle), 9182 nucleotides. RefSeq lists it as uncharacterized. The record is from RefSeq and is a predicted model, not a curated record. The transcript has 3 exons. NCBI's taxonomy places the organism in Eukaryota, Metazoa, Arthropoda, Insecta, Coleoptera, Tenebrionidae.
AGCACCAGUGUUAGGUAAAAGCAAAUAGAAAGAAAAGAAAGAAAAAAAAAACGAAAAGCAUUUGUUCAAUAUAAUAAACUUCUCGCUUUUGCUUCGGAGUAAAUGCUUUAAUUUUUCGGAGAAUAUGCUCUACAAUGGAGUGUUAUACUAAAAAAUGAAAAUUCUUUUAUGGAUAGCCAACAACAAAAUAGGCGACUCAUAUUUUUCUAUUUUAACCAAAGCUCUACCGUUUUUGAGAAAAAUAAUUGAAAAGGUGAAAAUUCCCGACCUGACGUCAGCAAUGUUGCUUUUUUAAUCAGUCAGUCACAGAACUAGAGAUAGAAAGCUUGCCAACAAAGAUAGCUUGAAAGACGUAUGUUUUUUCUUUAUUUCUUCUUUCUUGCUUUACAUACGACUUCAGAUUUGGUGCAGGAGCAGUCAUUUUACCAAAACACAAACUCCUGCAAAAUAUUAGCAUACAACACAAUCACAAUAAACAACGCACGGUUUUGACGUUUGAAUUUGACGUUUACCAGACAAAACGUAAAUCGUAGCGUUAAUUGUAUGCAGCGAAAGACUGACGAAUCAUUAGUUGAGACAUUGCUUACAUCACAACGCAAAUUUUCUAUUAUUACUAAAAAAGUACCGAUUUAAAAAACUCAGACCGAUAUUACUAGACAUCAUUUUGUGUCUACUUUCAGAACGUGCAAAAACUUUUACAUUCGAGUAUAACACUCCAUUGUUGCCAUUAAAUAACAUGUAAAACAAACUUUCUCUAGGUGGACCUACCGGCUCACAUUUCGUUCGCUGCGGAUCCAUUUCUGUACCGUUCUCGUUCUUAUUCGAUCGAUAAUCAGAUACAAAAUAGCUUUUAUAACAAAAAUCGUUAUUAUUUCGAUUCUCGUUAAAUAGCGAUAUCGUUAUAAGUUACAAAAUAAGCCUGUUAAUUAUAGUUGGGCCUUAUUUGGGAACAUAAAAACAUUAUUUUUUGAUAAACAUAUUUAUUAUAUCAUCUUAAAAAAUGCAAAAAUUUUAGAAAACUGUAAUCUCAUGGUUUGUAAUGAGCACUAAAGAUAUUUUUCCCAAUACUAGGCACACGAAAUUAUCACAAAUUGUAAUAUGCAAUUAAAAAAAAAAACGUAAACGUCUUCUUAUAGACAAAAUUAUCACGGUAGUUUUCAACAAUUAAAUAAUGAGACAAAAGAAAUACUUCAUACAAAACAACUAAUAUAGUUAUUAUGUCCAUGUAAUGGAAUAAAAUAUCUGUUGCACUACUAGUGUGCUAAUAAGCCUAAUAAAAACUUUAAACUUUAAACAAAUUUAACAAUUAUUAAAUUUUAUAUUAAUAUUAUUUUAUUUUUGUAUACAUUUAAAACCAAUAAAAAAAUUGAAAAUUUUGAGGCUGCUUAAUAUUUAUUUAUAACUGAGCACUUUUUCGUGUACUUUUGAAAAUUUUAGUAUAAACCCUCUUUGUUAUACAAACCUUUGUGAUACUUCAAAUGAAAAUUAUUUUGACCAGGUUCGGCUAUACAGCGCACUAAGUGCCUUCCAUUAGAGAGUGUUUUUUUUUAAACAAGCCACUCUAGAUAUCUUAAAAAAUAAACAAAAUAUUAGAAGUUCCGACGAGGUCAUUUACUUGACAAAAGGACAGUUUUUUGAGUACUUUUUAACAUUGUAGCACCAAUUAUUUUGUAAUACACACCACCUCUUCAAGAUGGUAUUACUCCUUUUGUUAUAUUUUUAUCUACGUCAACCAUUACAAGAUCCAGCAGAUUAUUAUAACAAACUAUUAUAAAAGUCACCUGUGACUAAAAAUGUUAAUGCUGUAAUAAGUUAUAAGUGAUGGAUUUUCCAAAAUAAUGCAAAAAUUCUUUAAACCUAAAAACGACAUAAUUAUAAUUUAGGAAAACACGAAAAUAUAAAACACAAAUUAAAACAGACUACACUUGAAGCAUCUUUUCCGAAAAAUGCACAAAUGUAAGAAAAUAACAAUUAAAGGAUGUGACGGAAAACUACAGUUGUCCUAUAGACUAAGCAAGACAUUAUUGAAUUUAAAUUAAAUAAUCAACUUAUCGGGAAACAACCUCUUCUAUUAUCAAGUAAUUUUACAGCAUGUAACAUUAUAAAAAAUAACUAAAUUAAAAAAAAAUACUCUCACAUUUAUGGUCAAAAUAACUUACACUUAAAGCGUCGCAAAAAAGGUAAUUUUAUUAAAAAUUUUGAAUUAGUUGUUUGUAUUACAAAGAGGGUUACUGCUCCAACUUUCAAAAGCACUUUUAAAGGUGUUUUCCUAAAAAACAAAAAUUAACCUGUCUUGAAAUUUUUAAACUUUUUGUUUAUUUUCUGAGAUAUCCAGGUUGACUCAUUUUUGAAAAAAAACAUCCUGUAUUGGAAGGCAUAAUACGUUGUGUUCUUUUGCUACAUUAGUGGGCUUCAAAUACUGAACUAAACAUCUUAGAGUAGUUAACAUCGAGCAUUUGCGAGUCUGGAAGCAUUUUGCUUAUCCAUCCACCCGUUCUAAUGCUUAAAUUAAUAUCGGAUGGCAUUUAGUAAUGCGCUAUGCGAGUUUGCCACGUUGACGGGCUUUGGAUACCGCACAAAACGUCUUGGGGUGUUUAUAUAUAUAUAUAUAUAUAUAUAUAUAUAUAUAUAUAUAUAUAUAUAUAUUGGGGUGGAUGGAUAAGCAAAAUGCAAGUGCAUUUUUAUUGUGUUUUGAAAAAAUAACAAAAAUAUAAAUUUUACUAUAUUUUUUUUGCCUACAUUUAACAUAAGUAGCACAGUUAUAAAAGCCUAUUAGAAGGUCUUCCAAUUAUACAAAAAAAUGACAUUGCUCCAAUAAAAAAAAUAUGAUGACUGAUCCAGUUAGGUCAAAUUUGAGUUCUAUUAAAAUACUUAGUCACCUGUUUAUGCAUUUUUUUUAUUUUUUGAAAUAUAAAAGAAUUACAAAUUUAACGCAUUAUAGACAUUAUAACUUUAAAAACUUCUUUGGCGAAAUGCAAGAUCCAAAUUUUUACGUGUACUAAAUAAACAAAUUUAAUAAUAAUUUUUUAAUGCAUUUAGGGUUUUAAAAGCUUUCAUUUAUUUAUCCGUGAAUUACGAUGAAGAAUGAAUAAGUAUCUACAAUUGGCUCAUUUUGUAAUAAAUUUUUAUGAUUCAUCAAAAAUGAGAAGAAAAAUAAUUGGAAUCGUGUACUAAAUUGUAUUUUUUUUUAACUUUUAUUUUUUAUAAUUUAUAAGUCGCAAACUUACAAAGCCAUAAUACUGAUUGCAUUCAAAAUUUUAUUAUUCUCAUAAAACUUAUAAAGUUUUGUAAUAUUAUUUUUAUUACAUUAGGUAAAAAUUUCUUACAAUAUAAACAGAAGUCAAAUAAGACAUUAUUACUACGUAAUAUACAAGUAUGUUAAAAAUUAGACUGUAAUAAGUAUGUAAGUUAUUGUUCCUACUAUUAUUUGGAUGUCCGAGGCUAAAAACUCCAAGCGGUAAUUUAACUUAGUGAGUAAAUAUGGGCAACAUUGUCGGGCUGUGUAUAAUGCGCAAAACCUAUUCAUUAUAUACAAACGGGACUCUUAUAGUAAGUAAAGCAUAAUGUGCUUUGUGAAAACUGAAAAAUAUAUUUUCAACUGUAUGUUGAAAAAACUUACCCCUCUGCGGUUGCGUUUAAUUGUUUCUAAUUAUAGAAUGUGUUUGUGCUGAAUACACAGCUCUAAGUCCACAGGAAAGCCCGGGCUUCUUGGUGUCUAUAGAACAUACCGGGAUUGAUAAAGAUAGCUGGGUGUAUAUAUGUAUACACGAGAGUACUUGUACAAAUUCUUCGGCACAACCGUGAUUAAUAUUACGAAAGACACGAAAUCUUAAUUUACCGAAUCUGGACUCACACAUAUAAUUUACAUUUAAUUUAACUAAAACAUUGAAAAGUUGACAAGCCACAAGAAAAAAAAACUUUCGUCAAAGUGAAGCCUUGAAACGAAAAUCAAUGCACCUAGUCGGUAAUGAAAGCUACCAAAAAUAUACGAAAUGACGUCACGAAAUUAGGCGAAGCCACUAGCAAAACGAUUCCAGAUGAGCUUGUCUUAUAAAACUGCGAGGUACAAAGAUAGAUGUAACCUUAUCGGAUGGCAAUCCUUCAGGAUUCUAACACCUUGUCCUCGAAAUUAUUUCGAUACUCCAACUCCAAGCGAAGCCCCCUUAUCCGCGCCCCCGAUGCCAACAAGACAAUACUAAGAAGAUGAAGAAAAGACGGAAAAAACAAGGAUGGGAAAGAAUAAGACCUUUGAUGUUGGGCGGUCUUUAACUGCGUAUUUCCAAGCGAGACUCUUGAGCGGACAAAGUCGAAAUCAGCACAAUCUUACACAAAUUUGACACAAAUUUUUUCAAAUCACACUUCCAAGUGUGCCAAAGCCCAUGGUUAGUAAAGACAUGGUUGCGCCGUAAUUCUGUGGAGGAGUGGGAAACCGCCACGUUGAUACGUCACAAGAUUACAAACGUGUUGUUUACAUCGUGUUUUUUAUGGUUUUUAAUAAAAAAUAACGAUUAAAACCCAGUGGUGAUGACUUUUUUAGUUAAUAGUGUUGUUUUGCUUGAUAACAGUGCAGUGAAAAAAAAAACAGGGACACCACUAGGAGGGGAAUUUCAAUUUUGCAGAACCAAUAUUAAUUUGCAGACCAGGGCUUUAAAAUAAUCCGACCGACUUGAAAUUCGACACACAUAAAAAACUUAAUAAUAGCUUUUAUUUGGUAUUACUUUUAACCCCUUUGAUUCAACCAUUAAAAACAUCCCCCAAUUCCUUAGACGCUAGGCACCUCUAUUUUAAAAUUUUCAAUGACACACUCAAUUUUUGGAAAAGAAAGAAAAAGCUUGUCUAACCGUAAAAAAGUGUUGAUUUGUUUUUUAAUUGGGGGUGGAUUUUGAAAUUUUUAGUCAUUGGGAGCCUUUGAUUUUAAGCCCAUUUGAUUUAAACAAACAAUUAUUUAAUUUGACUUGCAAAGGUAGAGGUCAAAACCAACAUUACAUAUCUUUAUGUUUAGGGUUCAUCCCCUAGUCGCUUGCCACUCCUUUAACAUUUUAAAUAGCGCCUCCUACAUUGUGAAUCAUUAUUACUAAGAAAAAAAUAUUAGAAAGAAGGGAAAAAGUAAUUUAAUUACAUAAUUGUAGAUUUGUUUUUCAGUUAGGGGUGGUUUUAAAAAGUGGGGGGUACAAUUUAAAGUUCUAGUUAAGAGAAUGGUGUAACUUAAAACGAAGAUUAUGCUAGUUUUAAACUUUCGCCUUCCAAAACGAAUCUAUAUGUUCUUUAUUUAAUUUAAAUUGGCUUAAAAUCAAAGGCUACUAGGUACUACGACCAAAAAUAAAAUUACCCCUCACUCAAAAACUUUCCAUAAGUUAUAUUUUAGCUAAUAAAUAUCGAAGUCUUUUAAUAUGAACAAAAUAGCAAUACGUAUUUAUACCAAACUCGCUCCAAGGGAGAAACGGCAUAUUUUCGACUAAGGGUUGGUAUACAAACGUUUUCUCACGCAUGAACCUUCCUAAAGUGUGGCACUAUAUCUUUGGAAAAGUUUUGUAUUCUACAAUUUUCAUUGUCCUGUAAUUAUAAUCUUCUCCAAGUUAUACAAACAUGCAUAUAAAUACAUAUGAAAUUCAAAAGUGUAAUCUCUUGACGUAUUCGCGCGCCGUCUGCUGAUUGGCUAAAAGUUCCGGCGCAACCAUGUCUACUAACCACGUCCAUAGCCGACAAAUUUUCUGAAAACGACAGGGUGUUUUACUUUACAGUUUUCCGGUUUACCAAAACUUGGCACGGGAAACUCAAAAAAGUGAGGUUAAAAACAACCAAAACCACAACAUGAAACGAAACGGCAAGAAGAAAGACGAAGAAACGAUAGUAGAAGACGAAAACAAGAUUAUGAAAGAAGUGAAAAGAAAAGGUGCCCAACAGUGGUCAGGUCUCUGUUUAAAUUAAAAUAACUUUUAAACGGUGCAUUUUAGCGGUGUAGAAGAUUAUUUCUUUUAUAAUAGUAAUUGAUUGCUCCAUCGAUUUAAGCAAUAAAAAACUAGUGUUCAGAGGGCCGAAAAUUAGAAAAACACAAAAAAUAUAACCCGGAAAUGCUGUAACCGGAAAUUGGAUGGAUGUAUCCGGUUUUUGUAUUUACCUGAUUAAAAGGCAUGUUCUCUUUAGUGCAAAAACGUCUUUCCAAACCCCUACUUCCCAGGGCUGUAAAAUGCUUAUCCGUUUUGAAAGGACACGAGUUAUAAUGUUAAUUGGCAUUAUUUUAUAGUUUCUUUUUAAGGUUCAUUUAUUGCCUCAUAAAUACGACUAACCCUGUAUGGGUCUCCAUAUUACGAUAAGAACCAUGCAAUAGCGGGUACAGAUAAUGUGCGAAAGCGAAGAAGUAUCGAUAUGGUUAUCUUCUAUUUCAGGCGAACUGUACAUUUAACUAUAAUGAAGCACAGAUUAACACCGCAGGCGCAACACAAAACCACCAGCGAAGUGUUCCACAAUUUUGCUAAGCAACGCAAUGACACCAACGAAGUGAGUAUCAUGAGAAUGUGAAAAAUGACGCCGCAGGCGCCACAUUUGCCCCGUAACGCAACACUUAACCACAGGCGAGGUAUUCCACAGUUUUGCUAAGCAACGAAAUGAUACAAACUAGGGUUCCUAUAUUGGGAGAGUUGGGACACUGAAUGUCAAUUUUCAAAAUUUUGUUUCAUAUACGUCGGUUGGAAUGUGUAAAAAAAACAAAUUGGAAUAGAAAUCAGUGGUGUUACACUUAAAAUUUGGCGAAAAGUCAAAUAAAUUUGUCAAAAAAAUUUUCCAUUUUUCGUCGACUGACUGCGUUUAGAAAUGGUUUAGACUGGCAGUUGUCGUCAAUUCACUGUUUUUUUUUAUAUGAACUCCAAAUUUUAAAAAAGAUUUCUUUGUAAGUACAAGAAUUUUACGUCUAAACUCUUCAUCAUAAACAUUUUUUCCUUAAUUUGAGGAAAUGGUAAUCAUCGAUGAAAGAGAGAGAGAAAUUGAACCUUUCCUUUCAAGUUUUACGUUUAUUAUUAACAAGCAUUUGGAAAAGUGAAUUGUCUAAGUAAUGUUAUGUACAAAAUUUAUGAGAUUUUGGAAAUUUGUCUAUCCAUUUAUAAAAUACGUAGGUACUUGAACCCAAAAUUGGUUCUAAUUUUUAGGAAAGUUGAACCUGUCGCUGCUUGGUCGCCUUUAGCCUUUAGAAUUCACGAUUUUGUUACGUUUUUCAUACAAGAACACCUUCAAUAUCAUUUUUUAGAAAAUUUAAACAGACGACAGGAAAUAUGAAGGGUUCUUGAUGACCAAUUUUUGGGACGAGAUGUUUAACUAAAAAUUGUGACUGGAAAAAAGCAUUUUUAGUAUUGAAGUAUGUUUUAAGUUAUGUAUUUAAUAAUAAAAUAAAUAUCGAAAAAUUUCAGAAAUGUGAACAUUAAUACAGGGUGUUCAAAAACACGCGCACCAACUCAGUGGUACGUUAUUAAGAAGCAAGUGCAGACUACAGGAAAAAUGUUGAAAAAAUUCCUGAAGUCAUCUUUUAAAAAAUCUGGAGCUACAAACUUAUUGUGUUAACUUCUUUAGUUUUCAUUAUUUUUUUAUAUUUUCAUAAUUCAUACCAGGUAAUCCACCCGUAACAAAAAGAUGAAUAAUUAUUUUUAAAUUUACUAUCAGAUUUUAGCAGUUUUUUUAAUUUAAAAAAAUUAAAAUUCAUCCAAAAAAUCACAAUGUGUAGAUGUGACAACUCUGGGAAUUAUUUCCUAGGAAACCGUUUCAAAAAUAAUUUAUUUUUAUUGUUGCUCAAAUUGUAUUGCGAUGAUGACUGUUAGACAACGUUGCCACAUAUCAUUUAUUUAAAAUCCGUUAUUUAUCAAUAGCUUUAAUACAAAGAAUUUUUUUACUAUUUUUACCUUUAUAUGUAACCAGUUCUCUACCACACACCAUUGAGUUGGUGCGCCAGUUUUUGAGCACGCUGUAUUGGUAAGUAUUCAAUUAUUUUCUUUUUUUAAAUAGUAAUCUCAAAAUUUCUACGUUUUCUACGUCCCUGGUUAAAUUUGACGUAAAAUUAUGUCAUUUUAUGCAUUUGACAAAAAUUAUAACCUUGAAAUUAUUUUCGACAUAAACCUCUGACAUAAGUUACUAACAAAAAUUUUAAUAAAAAAGGAUAGAAAUAUAUACCUUAUCCACAUAAUACAAAAUUGGCUCGGUUUGACGUUCGGUGUCCCAACUCUCCCAAUAAAGGAACUCUAAUACAAACGAAGUGAGUGACAUGAAAAUAAAAAAAUGGUGUCGCAGGCGCCACAUUUGCGCCGAAGGCGCAACACUUAAUCACAGGCAAAGUGUUCCACAGUUUUGCUAAGCAACGAAAUGACACGAACGAAGUGAGUGCCAUGAGAAUGAAAAAAUGGCGCCGCAGGCGCCACAUGUGCGCUGAUGGCGCAACACUUAACCACAGGCGAGGUGUUCCACAGUUUUGCUAAGCAACGAAAUAACACGAACGCAGUGAGUGCCAUGAAAAUAAAAAAAUGGCGCCGCAGGCGCCACAUUUGCGCCAAAGGCGCGACACUUAACCAAAGGCGAAGUGUUCCACAGUUUUUCUAAGCAACAAAAUGAGAAUUAAAAAAUGGCGCCGCUGGCGCCACAUUUGGCGCAACACUUAACUAAAAGUGAGGUGUUACACAGUACUGCUAAGCAACGAAAUGACAUGAACAAAGUGAGUGCCAUGAGUAUAGAAGUCGCAAAGCAUGCGCCGCAGGCCGGUAGUCCCGCUUGGAGUAAGCUUGUUCGCCUUACUAAAGCGCACGUCACGGCGCUCAUAUACUCUGACUUCCAAUCGCACUUCAUCGUACAUUUUUUUAGAAAUUAUUUUGCUAUCUUAAUACCGAAAGAAUUGAAAAUGAUGAAUAAACAAUCAAAUGGCAAAUUAUAAUUUGUUAAAAGUAUAUACAUAAAUUUGCUUGGAUUUACUCCGGGUAGGCGGCGCCUACCUUGUCUACCCGGAGGAGCCGCCACUGUCUGGCAAACCUUAACAGAAAAUGGUUUACUCUUUGGUAAGGAAGAAAAAUAAUGGGAAUCAAAUCUUACGCCGACAGGACCAACUUCCUUAAAAGAUUUAAAAUAAAACGACGAGUUGCAACGUUUCGUUUAUAUAAUAAAGUUUAUCAGGCUUUUAACUCGUUCAAAUUCUUGGAAAUAAACAUUAAAAU